This 440-nucleotide ribosomal RNA is filed under the name uncultured bacterium. RNAcentral describes it as "partial 16S ribosomal RNA". It matches the Rfam family "Bacterial small subunit ribosomal RNA", at positions 338 to 795 of the family's 1533-position model. The record is from RNAcentral.
CCUACGUGAUGCAGCAGUGGGGAAUAUUGCACAAUGGGGGAAACCCUGAUGCAGCGACGCCGCGUGAGUGAAGAAGUAUUUCGGUAUGUAAAGCUCUAUCAGCAGGGAAGAAAAUGACGGUACCUGAUUAAGAAGCCCCGGCUAACUACGUGCCAGCAGCCGCGGUAAUACGUAGGGGGCAAGCGUUAUCCGGAUUUACUGGGUGUAAAGGGAGCGUAGACGGCAGCACAAGUCUGGAGUGAAAUGCCGGGGCUUAACCCCGGAACUGCUUUGGAUACUGAGCAGAUAGAGUGCAGGCGAGGUAAGUGGAAUGCCUAGUGUAGCGGUGAAAUGCGGAGAUAUUAGGAGGAACACCAGUGGCGAAGGCGGCUUACUGGACUGUAACUUACGUUGAGGCUCGAAAGCGUGGGGAGCAAACAGGAUUAGAUACCCUUGUAGUC